CGAAAGCUAGGGGAGCAAACAGGAUUAGAUACCCUGGUAGUCCUAGCCCUAAACGAUCAGGACUUGGGGUGCUUCACGUUCGUGGAGCGUCCCGGAGCUAACGCGUUAAGUCCUGCACCUGGGGAGUACGGUCGCAAGACUGAAACUCAAAGGAAUUGACGGGGGCCCGCACAAGCGGUGGAACAUGUGGUUCAAUUCGACGCUACGCGAGGAACCUUACCUGGGCUCGAAGCGCACUUGACUAGCUGUGGAAACACGGCCUUCCCGCAAGGGACAAGUGUGGAGGCGCUGCAUGGCUGUCGUCAGCUCGUGCCGUGAGGUGUUGGGUCAAGUCCCGCAACGAGCGCAACCCCUGCACGUAGUUGCCACUCCGCAAGGAGGGAACUCUACGUGGACUGCUCCGGAUAACGGAGAGGAAGGUGGGGAUGACGUCAAGUCCGCAUGGCCUUUAUGUCCAGGGCUACACACGUGUUACAAUGCAGGGCACAAACCGUUGCCAACCCGUGAGGGGGAGCUAAUCGGAAAAAACUCUGCUCAGUUCGGAUUGCAGUCUGCAACUCGACUGCAUGAAGCCGGAAUCGCUAGUAAUGGCGUAUCAGAUCGACGCCGUGAAUACGUUCCCGGGCCUUGUACACACCGCCCGUCACAUCACGAAAGUGGGCUGUACUGGAAGUCGCUGCGCUAACUCGCAAGAGAGGCAAGCGCCCAAGGUAUGACUCAUGAUUGGGGUGAAGUCGUAACAAGGUAGCCGUA
RNAcentral lists this ribosomal RNA (753 nucleotides) under uncultured bacterium. Its description in RNAcentral is "bacterial SSU rRNA". It matches the Rfam family "Bacterial small subunit ribosomal RNA", at positions 754 to 1504 of the family's 1533-position model. The record is from RNAcentral.